RNAcentral lists this long non-coding RNA (1083 nucleotides) under Oryctolagus cuniculus (rabbit). Its description in RNAcentral is "lncRNA (ENSOCUG00000036698.1)". The record is from RNAcentral. Lineage: Eukaryota; Metazoa; Chordata; Mammalia; Lagomorpha; Leporidae.
AUGCCAGUGUCCCACUGCCGUGCAGCACCAGUUCAAGUCCUGGCUGCUCCGCUUCUGAUCCAGCACCCUGCUAAUGCCUGGGAAAGCAGCAGAGGACAGCCCAAGUGCUUGGGCCCCUGCCACCCAUGUGGGAGACCCAGAUGCAAUUCCUGGCUCUUAGCUUCGGCAUAUUGUACAGAUAACACAGCCUUGAGCACAAGACCCGCACGCUGCUUGGCGCCAGGGGUCCAGGGGCACGUGAAUCUCUUGCUCCCAUUGUCUGUGGCCCAGGCAGGAGCCCCUCGCCAGAGACCACACAGCGGGGACCAGAGGGGCCUGUGUGAGACUCAGGACCCCCGGGUCCACUUGCUCACCCUGCAGCCCCGACCCGGCCCCCACUGUGGUGUGCUGUGCUGGGCCCUUGCCCCUGAACGUGUGUGUCAGGGUGCCUGCGCCCGUGUGUUUGUUUUCUUUUGUUUUUCAUGCAAAGAAAACAAACCCAAGUCCGCCACAGCCUGCGUUUCAACAUCGCUGAGAGCUGUGGAAGCCGGUAAUUCCCCAGGACAGGAAGGAUUUCCGGUUGGACUUAAUGCCCACGUUCAGAGGCAGCUGGCUGUCCAGGGCAGAGUGCACCAGAGCGGGCCUAGGGGCCCCAGGAGGAUGGCCCCACUCUGGGCCCAAGCUGAGGUGCCCCUGGCGGGGCAAGAGCUCACCUCGGGUCACCGGGGACAGGUGGCUGAGCCAGGAGCUGAAUCCCUGGUCCCAGGCUCCCGCACCCUCAGACCUCCCCGCUCUGUGCCAGGGGUGCCCGUCAUUCCCCCAGCAGACCGAGGGCACCCAGCCCCUCCUGAGGCCAGGCUCAGUGCCCUGGCCAGGCCUGGCCCCACCAUGAGUCGCCCUGACCCUGGGUGGGGGGCGUCCCAAUGCCACCCUUGCAGCUGCUGCCUGGCCAGGGCGCCUGCCUGCCUCCCGCAGUGUCUGGGGGCCGGGGAGAAGGAGCCAGGAGGAGUUGAGAGGCGGGGAGGGGCAGGGUGCCAGGAUGGGGUGGCCUCCCCACCCCUCCAGAGUCAGGCGUCUGGCUGCUCCCCCAGAGCUCUGGGCUGA